Molecule: non-coding RNA, 96 nt
Filed under: Vogesella sp. EB
Lineage: Bacteria; Pseudomonadati; Pseudomonadota; Betaproteobacteria; Neisseriales; Chromobacteriaceae
Also listed under: 1 other name
Description: TPP riboswitch aptamer (THI element)
Rfam family: TPP riboswitch aptamer (THI element)
About the family: Vitamin B(1) in its active form thiamin pyrophosphate (TPP) is an essential coenzyme that is synthesised by coupling of pyrimidine and thiazole moieties in bacteria. The previously detected thiamin-regulatory element, thi box was extended, resulting in a new, highly conserved RNA secondary structure, the THI element, which is widely distributed in eubacteria and also occurs in some archaea.
Source: Rfam by way of RNAcentral
UUCGAUCACCGGGGGUGUCUGCCGCAGGCAGACUGAGAGAUACCCCAGAACCUGAUCUGGGUCAUGCCAGCGGAGGGAGCGUGAUGCGCGGCCAGU